UAAAGGUUUGGGCGCACCUUUAAGCGCCGUCUAAUGUAACCACUUGCAAAAGUGAUGGUCCAAAGUCCAUGCAAAUACAGAUGGGACA
This 88-nucleotide non-coding RNA is filed under the name unclassified sequences. The record is from RNAcentral.